AUUGAACGCUGGCGGCAUGCCUUACACAUGCAAGUCGAACGGCAGCACGGGUGCUUGCACCUGGUGGCGAGUGGCGAACGGGUGAGUAAUACAUCGGAACGUACCUUAUCGUGGGGGAUAACGCAGCGAAAGCUGGGCUAAUACCUCAUACACACUGCGGGGGAAAGCGGGGGAUCGCAAGGCCUAGCGAGAGUAGAGCGGCCGAUGCCUGAUUAGCUUGUCGUGGGGGUAAAAGCCCACCAAGGCGACGAUCAGUAGCAGGUCUGAGAGGACGAUCAGCCACACUGGGACUGAGACACGGCCCAGACUCCUACGGGAGGCAGCAGUGGGGAAUUUUGGACAAUGGGGGCAACCCUCAUCCAGCAAUGCCGCGUGAGUGAAGAAGGCCUUCGGGUUGUAAAGCUCUUUUGUCAGGGAAGAAACACCGGCUCUAACACAGUCCGGGAAUGACGGUACCUGAAGAAUAAGCACCGGCUAACUACGUGCCAGCAGCCGCCGCCG
Molecule: ribosomal RNA, 501 nt
Filed under: uncultured bacterium
Lineage: Bacteria
Description: partial 16S ribosomal RNA
Rfam family: Bacterial small subunit ribosomal RNA
Source: RNAcentral